This 451-nucleotide ribosomal RNA is filed under the name uncultured bacterium. Its description in RNAcentral is "bacterial SSU rRNA". It matches the Rfam family "Bacterial small subunit ribosomal RNA", at positions 58 to 518 of the family's 1533-position model. The record is from RNAcentral.
CAAGUCGAACGGAGUUAUGAGAUAGCUUGCUAUUGAGUAACUUAGUGGCGGACGGGUGAGUAACGCGUGAGUAACCUGCCUCUUAGAGGGGGAUAACGUUCUGAAAAGAACGCUAAUACCGCAUAUAAUUACGAAAUCGCAUGGUUUGUAAUGAAAGGAGCAAUCCGCUAAGAGAUGGACUCGCGUCUGAUUAGCUUGAUGGUGAGGUAACGGCUCACCAUGGCGACGAUCAGUAGCCGGACUGAGAGGUUGAACGGCCACAUUGGGACUGAGACACGGCCCAGACUCCUACGGGAGGCAGCAGGUGGGGGAUAUUACGCAAUGGGGGAAACCCUGACGUAGCAAUGCCGCGUGAAGGAAGAAGGUUUUCGGAUUGUAAACUUCUUUUGUCAGGGACGAUAAUGACGGUACCUGACGAAUAAGCUCCGGCUAACUACGUGCCAGCAGCCGC